ACAUUUAAAAUUGUAUCAGUGCUAGUAAAAAGCAACAAUUAAGCACAAUUUUAGGGAAAAAAAUAAAAUAAUUAAACCAAUGGACAUGAAUUUUAAAAUAAGCAGUCUUUUAAAACUUGUUUUCUUCCCUCUGCUUUUCUUUAUCCAGUUUGUCUUAACUGAGCAUCUGCUAUGCACCAGGCAUGCUGCUAGUUGCUUAGGAUACAGCGGUGGGAGAAAACAGAAUGCUGAGAGAAAAAGCUAUUAUGAAGCUUAUAGUCCAGUGGGGGAUGGCAGACAUGAAUGACAGAGUCCCACAAAUAAAUGUAUUAUUUUUACGCCUGGGAAGUUGAAUGACAUGGUGCCUUGAGAGCAAACAAUUGGGAAAUCUAAUCCACUUGGAGAAGUCAGGGAAGGUUUUCUUAAGAUGAUGACUGCUGGGCUGGGAUCUGGUGGAAGCUUGGGGGUAGGAGAUGGGGCUGGUUCUAACUUAGACCAUCUCAAUAUACUGGCCACACCUCCAACAUCAAGCAAAAAUGAAACACAGAAGAGUAAAAAUUUGUUAUCAUGUGGACAGGGGAAGAGGCAAGAAAUUUGGAUAUUCUGAACUCCUGCAGAAAGCAGCCUUUGGUCCAUCUCUUGUCCAGCCAUCUGUGUUCCACCAGGGAAAUCCCUCUAUCUGCGUUUCUGAUUUGGGUCUGAGGUAAUACGCGGCUGGCACCGAGUUCUCAUCCCGGCAAUACCACUCUUCCAGUAACUUGGUGUCCAG
Non-coding RNA from Odocoileus virginianus texanus, 748 nucleotides. The record is from RefSeq and is a predicted model, not a curated record. Lineage: Eukaryota; Metazoa; Chordata; Mammalia; Artiodactyla; Cervidae.